RNAcentral lists this ribosomal RNA (554 nucleotides) under uncultured bacterium. Its description in RNAcentral is "bacterial SSU rRNA". It matches the Rfam family "Bacterial small subunit ribosomal RNA", at positions 107 to 659 of the family's 1533-position model. The record is from RNAcentral.
UGAGUAACGCGUAUCCAACCUGCCCACCACUUGGGGAUAACCUUGCGAAAGUAAGACUAAUACCCAAUGACGUCUCUAGAAGACAUCUGAAAGAGAUUAAAGAUUUAUCGGUGAUGGAUGGGGAUGCGUCUGAUUAGCUUGUUGGCGGGGUAACGGCCCGCCAAGGCUACGAUCAGUAGGGGUUCCGAGAGGAAGGUCCCCCACAUUGGAACUGAGACACGGUCCAAACUCCUACGGGAGGCAGCAGUGAGGAAUAUUGGUCAAUGGACGAGAGUCUGAACCAGCCAAGUAGCGUGCAGGAUGACGGCCCUAUGGGUUGUAAACUGCUUUUAUAAGGGAAUAAAGUGAGUCUCGUGAGACUUUUUGCAUGUACCUUAUGAAUAAGGACCGGCUAAUUCCGUGCCAGCAGCCGCGGUAAUACGGAAGGUCCGGGCGUUAUCCGGAUUUAUUGGGUUUAAAGGGAGCGUAGGCCGGAGAUUAAGCGUGUUGUGAAAUGUAGAUGCUCAACAUCUGCACUGCAGCGCGAACUGGUUUCCUUGAGUACGCACAAAGUG